Molecule: ribosomal RNA, 436 nt
Filed under: uncultured organism
Description: bacterial SSU rRNA
Rfam family: Bacterial small subunit ribosomal RNA
Source: RNAcentral
AGAGUUUGAUCCUGGCUCAGAGCGAACGCUGGCGGCAGGCUUAACACAUGCAAGUCGAGCGGGCGUAGCAAUACGUCAGCGGCAGACGGGUGAGUAACGCGUGGGAACGUACCUUUUGGUUCGGAACAACACAGGGAAACUUGUGCUAAUACCGGAUAAGCCCUUACGGGGAAAGAUUUAUCGCCGAAAGAUCGGCCCGCGUCUGAUUAGCUAGUUGGUAGGGUAAUGGCCUACCAAGGCGACGAUCAGUAGCUGGUCUGAGAGGAUGAUCAGCCACAUUGGGACUGAGACACGGCCCAAACUCCUACGGGAGGCAGCAGUGGGGAAUAUUGGACAAUGGGGGCAACCCUGAUCCAGCCAUGCCGCGUGAGUGAUGAAGGCCCUAGGGUUGUAAAGCUCUUUUGUGCGGGAAGAUAAUGACGGACCGCAAGAAUAG